RNAcentral lists this unclassified non-coding RNA (266 nucleotides) under uncultured fungus. Its description in RNAcentral is "partial contains 5.8S ribosomal RNA, internal transcribed spacer 2, and large subunit ribosomal RNA". The stretch from base 1 to 52 matches the Rfam family "5.8S ribosomal RNA", at positions 103 to 154 of the family's 154-position model. The record is from RNAcentral. Lineage: Eukaryota; Fungi.
AACGCACAUUGCGCCCAUUGGUAUUCCGAUGGGCAUGCCUGUUCGAGCGUCAUUAUCCUCCCUCAAACCUCGCGUUUGGUGUUGGGUCGGAAGCGGGACUUGUCCCCCUUCGACCCCAAAGACAAUGACGGCGUCCGUUGGGACCCUCGGUGCAACGAGCUUCUUUGGAGCACGCACUGUGGUGGUUCUCCCUCCGGGCUGGUCUCAACCCUUUUUACAUUUACCAGGUUGACCUCGGAUCAGGUAGGAAUACCCGCUGAACUUAA